UACGAAGGGGGGCGAGCGUUGUUCGGAAUUACUGGGCGUAAAGGGCGCGUAGGCGGCCUGAUAAGUCGGGGGGUGAAAAUCCUGAGGCUCAACCUCAGAACUGCCUUCGAUACUGGCGAUCUUGAGUCCGGAAGAAGGUUGGGUGGGAACAGCUAGUGUAGAGGUGAAAAUUCGUAGAUAUAGCUAGAAUCACCAGUGGC
RNAcentral lists this ribosomal RNA (200 nucleotides) under uncultured bacterium. RNAcentral describes it as "partial 16S ribosomal RNA". It matches the Rfam family "Bacterial small subunit ribosomal RNA", at positions 524 to 716 of the family's 1533-position model. The record is from RNAcentral.